Molecule: long non-coding RNA, 426 nt
Organism: Papaver somniferum (opium poppy)
Lineage: Eukaryota; Viridiplantae; Streptophyta; Magnoliopsida; Ranunculales; Papaveraceae
Exons: 2
Source: RefSeq, a predicted model, not a curated record
GAGAAGGUUACGCCCGAUUGGAGGUGAAAUUGCAAGUUGUUAAGCUGGUACAAGGAGGACGAGGUGGUUGCAGAGGCUGAAAUUGCUGAAACAGAUCCAAGUAAGCAGAUACAUGGAAAACCAAUCGGUCUUGGAGCCUACACUGUAUGUGUGAAAGUUUCUUAUGUGGAUGAUGCUCUUGUCUACCAAGCUACUUCAGAAGUCAGAACUGUUCAUGAUGCUGUUUCAAAUUUUAUCACAUGGCCCAAAGAUAGAAUAAUCUACCAAUACACUUCUUAAUCUUUUGUGAUCUUUUUGGAGACUUAACUUUUCGUAACAAACAUAUCACUGCCACUUUUUUGUAUGUUUUGUGUAUAUCACAUUGGUAUGUGAAUGCUUUAAUUCUGGGUUUGGUUUAAUUUGAAUGAGUCUUUCAGUUUAAUCCAA